Long non-coding RNA from Ipomoea nil (Japanese morning glory), 83 nucleotides. RefSeq lists it as uncharacterized. The transcript has 3 exons. Lineage: Eukaryota; Viridiplantae; Streptophyta; Magnoliopsida; Solanales; Convolvulaceae. The record is from RefSeq and is a predicted model, not a curated record.
UUAUUGUGGGUCCAUAGGAUUAGUCUCAUAUUUUGGUAUGAGUUGAGUCAUUGUAGCUUGUUCAAUCUGAAGAAGAAGGGGUG